Biomphalaria glabrata is the source of this 2519-nucleotide RNA transcript. It is a transcript of the gene named sex peptide receptor-related protein 2-like, with no coding region annotated. The transcript is spliced from 5 exons. Lineage: Eukaryota; Metazoa; Mollusca; Gastropoda; Planorbidae. The record is from RefSeq and is a predicted model, not a curated record.
UUUUUGUUAUUCAUGUCUACUAGCAGGUAACUAAUGUUUCAAUUUCACUUUCGUAAUUUAAUCUCUGUAACUCUCCUCAUUUCGCUUGAUUAUUUCCCUUGAUAUACUUUGUUUUCUCCCCUGCCACUUGGUCUCGGUAGAAACUAGGACGGUAAAAUGUGUGUUGUAAAUUUUUUCGGAUGCUCCUUCAAAGCUGAAGAUACUUUACAUCCUAGUUCAAAGCUCCCGUCUCUCUCACGUAUCCUACAUUAUCUUCACUUGUCAAUGUUCACGGGUGACUAAUUGUAUGUUCUUAAUUAACUCAGUGUACGUGUAACAGCAACACACCACGUGACCGCUGACUUUCCCUCAACUCCUCCCCCUGGCCUAAUAGUAAGUUUAGACAAUGACAUCAGCACAACACGACACUGCUGUGUUGACACUCUGUGUUGUGACAUGCAAUAUGAUUGUUCUCACCCACACAAGGUCAACUGCCAAUAGCCUCAGCGUCCUGGCAUUGGAGCUGAACUUCACACUAAAUCUUAGAGACCUGACAUCAACCCGGAUACAGCUACAACGAUUUUAUUGAACGUGUCAACAGUUCUACUGCGAUCAACUACACUUGAUAUUAUAAUACAUUAUGAAAAUGAAACUCUACUAAUCAGUUUCUCGCACGGACAUACAAGAACACAAAAGUUGAAUAAGUGGGGAAAAUUGUCAUUAUAAAGCCUUAAUGACCUCUUUGACCUGUCUCAAGCCUGCAUAAAUGAUCGAGAGGUCUUUCUAUUCUGUCUCAAUUGAUGAAAGGUACUCUUUUCCAGGCAUCAGCGUGUCAUCCUAGUGGAAACGUCCUAAUGAGUGACAGGGUAACAGCAGGGCCGGCCUUUGGCAUAGGCAGACUAGGUAGCCACCUAGGACCUCUAAUUGGUGGGGGACCUUGCACAUGACUGUUUCUGUAUUUCAUUUAGAGAAGAAAUAAAGAAACGUGUCCUCAAUGUUAUUGUUGGAGAACACCAGGUUUCUAAUAAUUUGCAUACUUUAAUUUUUUAAUGUAUAUUUUCUAUAAUUCUAUAUCAUUUGGGGCCACCAAAUACAUUUCGCCUAGGGGCUCCAAUUAUCUAAGGCCGGCCCUGCGAACAGGAACCAUAGCCUAUUAAGGCCUUCCACAGUACAGUGUACAUUGUACGUGGUGUGGAAGAAAGAUGGCCUCAAGAGUCAAGUACGUUGUUGCGGCCUCUUAAUCAAGGGGAAGCAAGUAUGACUCAGCUUCAAGAAGUCAUGACCCCCACAAUAAACGUUUGAAUUAAACGAUUGUUUAACAGACUCUAGCUGAUUGAGGACCUUCAAACAGAAGAAUUGUUGAAUAGCGAGUCUCUCCUUCUCGGCACUGGGGACUGAACACAUCUGUCAAUCUCAAUUUAUUCAGUCUGGCUGUGGCCGAUUUAGGAAGUCUGUCUUCUUUGUUUUUAGAGAGUUUGAGUUUUAAGCCUGCACUGGAAAGAGCCGGGAUCGCAUAUUUGACGACAGAACUAUUUUAUGCUUCAUCUGUUACACUCAGAUUUCUAUUUGCCCGGAUCGCCUGGUGGAUAACGACUUUCAUAUCCUUUGAAAGAUGCCUGUGUGUGACUCUCCCGCUUCAUAUCAAGCAAGUAUUGACCACAAAAAGAACGAUUCUCGCGCAUGCUGUCAUUACUGCAAGCAUCAUCACUGCCGUCUCGCCAUUUUUGGUGGCCAGACCUCUCGGUUCGAAACUCAUACCUUCUAUAAACACGACUCUGAUUGGGCUAUUCUACACCGAGAACGGACCAUACAUCGAGAGGAUAGCUUUCUGCUUCAACGCCAUCUUACAGUUCACAUCCUAUAUCCUCAACAUUAUCUUCACCGCGGUUAUUAUUCUGCAGUUAAAUUUAAACUCCAGAUGGCGCCAGAACUUGUCCUCUUUGAAAGAUCGCUCAAAGCGAGACAAGAAACUGGCCAAGAUGGUGGGCUGCAUUUGUAGUAUUUUUAUUGUUUGCGCCAUGCCGAGCUGCGUGAAUUUUAUGAUGUCUGUAUUACAAGUUUCAGGAUUCAGUGGAUGGGACAGAUCAUUCCUAACUUUUCGUGAGAUUAUUAUGACCUUGGAAGCCAUUAACAGUACCAUAAACAUAAUAGUUUACUACAAUAUGAGUUCAAACUACAAGGAAGCAUUUUUUAGUAUUUUCUGUUUAAAAGAUAAACCUAGUUCUACCUAGUUAUAUAAUAAUUGUUUUUUACAAUGUGCCCAAAGUAGUUAUUAUUAUUGUACCUUUUCUAUUCAUUUUCGAAACUUUAAUGUCACGGAAUUUCGAAAAGCAAGGCUAUUGUAAUUGAUGCCACUUAAAAUCCUCCCAUGAUAGGGAACUUGGUAGGGAACUUGGUGAAGUUUUUAGCCUUUAGUUAAUAGUAGGCCUGACAUAUGAUUGAAGAAGAAGAAAAAAGAAUUGUUAUGCAGUUAUCGAAAAAUAAAUAGUUACAUUUAGGGCGAGGCGUAUCUCAGUGAAGUAUUAAACAAAGUAAAAAUG